Molecule: ribosomal RNA, 492 nt
Filed under: uncultured bacterium
Lineage: Bacteria
Description: partial 16S ribosomal RNA
Rfam family: Bacterial small subunit ribosomal RNA
Source: RNAcentral
AGUGAACGCUGGCGGUAGGCCUAACACAUGCAAGUCGAACGGCAGCACAGUAAGAGCUUGCUCUUACGGGUGGCGGGUGGCGGACGGGUGAGGAAUACAUCGGAAUCUACUUUUUCGUGGGGGAUAACGUAGGGAAACUUACGCCAAUACCGCAUACGACCUACGGGUGAAAGCAGGGGAUCUUCGGACCUUGCGCGAUUGAAUGAGCCGAUGUCGGAUUAGCUAGUUGGCGGGGUAAAGGCCCACCAAGGCGACGAUCCGUAGCUGGUCUGAGAGGAUGAUCAGCCACACUGGAACUGAGACACGGUCCAGACUCCUACGGGAGGCAGCAGUGGGGAAUAUUGGACAAUGGGCGCAAGCCUGAUCCAGCCAUACCGCGUGGGUGAAGAAGGCCUUCGGGUUGUAAAGCCCUUUUGUUGGGAAAGAAAAGCAGCAGGUUAAUACCCCGCUGUUCUGACGGUACCCAAAGAAUAAGCACCGGCUAACUUCGUG